UUUGAACAUAUUUUUUGCCAUUUUUUUUUUAUUUGAACAUAUUUUUUGCCAUUUUUUUUUUAUUUGAACAUAUUUUUUGCCAUUUUAUUUAAUUUAUUUUUAAAAAUAAUUCUGGCUUUUCAAAUUAAUAUUUUACACUUUUCAUUUGUUAAAUUUUAAAGUGACAUGGUUUCAUUAUUAGACUGUAGCUCACAAAAUAAUGCAUAGCUAAACUAAGUCUUACCUAGGUAUAAAUAAUAUGGAAAGGAGGAAGUAAUUAUUUUUCGCUAUGUAAUUUUUUAUUUUUUUUAAAAAUAAAAUGUACAAAAUAGUCAUUUUUUGGCUUCUAAUCACUUUAAAUGUUUUUUUAAAAAUGUUUUUUUUUUUUUUAAACUAA
Molecule: non-coding RNA, 376 nt
Organism: Biomphalaria pfeifferi
Lineage: Eukaryota; Metazoa; Mollusca; Gastropoda; Planorbidae
Source: the annotation of a GenBank genome assembly